RNAcentral lists this ribosomal RNA (460 nucleotides) under uncultured bacterium. RNAcentral's name for it is "partial 16S ribosomal RNA". It matches the Rfam family "Bacterial small subunit ribosomal RNA", at positions 338 to 795 of the family's 1533-position model. The record is from RNAcentral.
CCUACGGGAGGCAGCAGUGAGGAAUAUUGGUCAAUGGCCGGAAGGCUGAACCAGCCAUGCCGCGUGAAGGUCAGUGCCCUAUGGGCGUUAAACUUCUUUUGUGCGGGAGCAAUAAUGGUCACGUGUGGCCAGACGAGAGUACCGUACGAAUAAGCAUCGGCUAACUCCGUGCCAGCAGCCGCGGUAAUACGGGGGAUGCAAGCGUUAUCCGGAUUUAUUGGGGUUAAAGGGUGCGUAGGCUGUGAGGUAAGUCAGCGGUGAAAUGCCUCCGCUCAACGGGGUGAAGUGCCAUUGAUACUGCCUUGCUGGAAUGCGGAUGCCGUGGGAGGAAUGUGUGGUGUAGCGGUGAAAUGCAUAGAUAUCACACAGAACACCGAUUGCGAAGGCAUCUCACGAAUCCGCGAUUGACGCUGAUGCACGAAAGCGUGGGUAUCAAACAGGAUUAGAUACCCCUGUAGUC